UAAACAACACUUAAUACCAUAUAUGUCUAAGUUCUGGGAGCAGAGAGCCCCCACCUAAGAUGUCUCUGCUCUAAUCUUUUUGUUCUCUCUUACCUUGAAACUUAUUUGUUAUGUGUACAUGACGCUCAUCCCUAUGUCUUAUCUGUACUCUCUUCCUAUUAAUGUUCUAAGAGUAUUUGCACGUAAGCACUUACUUUUUAAUGUAUAAAACCCAG
This 215-nucleotide long non-coding RNA is filed under the name Pelobates cultripes (western spadefoot toad). Lineage: Eukaryota; Metazoa; Chordata; Amphibia; Anura; Pelobatidae. The record is from RNAcentral.